UACGUAGGGUGCAAGCGUUAAUCGGAAUCACUGGGCGUAAAGCGCACGUAGGCGGAUUUAUAAGUCAGGGGUGAAAUCCCGGGGCUCAACCUCGGAACUGCCUUUGAUACUGUGAAUCUUGAGUCCGAUAGAGGUGGGUGGAAUUCCUAGUGUAGAGGUGAAAUUCGUAGAUAUUAGGAAGAACACCGGUGGCGAAGGCGGCCCACUGGAUCGGUACUGACGCUGAGGUGCGAAAGCGUGGGGAGCAAACAGG
RNAcentral lists this ribosomal RNA (253 nucleotides) under uncultured bacterium. RNAcentral's name for it is "partial 16S ribosomal RNA". It matches the Rfam family "Bacterial small subunit ribosomal RNA", at positions 524 to 776 of the family's 1533-position model. The record is from RNAcentral.